This is a non-coding RNA of Takifugu rubripes (torafugu), 114 nucleotides long. NCBI's taxonomy places the organism in Eukaryota, Metazoa, Chordata, Actinopteri, Tetraodontiformes, Tetraodontidae. The record is from Rfam.
AACAGAUAUGGCGACAUGGUGCCAAAGACGAUCGCCGGUAAGAUAUUUGGCUCCAUUUGCUCCCUCAGCGGCGUGCUGGUGAUCGCCCUGCCCGUCCCCGUCAUCGUGUCCAAC